CUGUGCAAUGCGCGAAAGCGCGACACGGGAAGCCUGAGUGCCUUAACUAUGUUAAGGCUUUUCUUGAUCCUAAAAAGCUCAAGGAAUAAGAGCUGGGUAAGACGGGUGCCAGCCGCCGCGGUAACACCCGCGGCUCGAGUGGUAGUCACUUUUAUUGAGCCUAAAGCGUUUGUAGCCGGAUUUGUAAAUCUCUAGGAAAAUACUUCUGCUCAACUGAAGAAAUUUUGGAGAGACUGCAAAUCUAGGGACCGGGUGAGGUUGAAUGUACUUCUGGGGUAGGGGUAAAAUCCUGUAAUCCUGGAAGGACGACCGGUGGCGAAGGCGUUCAACUAGAACGGAUCCGACGGUGAGGAACGAAGGCUAGGGGAGCAAACCGGAUUAGAUACCCGCGUAGUCC
RNAcentral lists this ribosomal RNA (397 nucleotides) under uncultured bacterium. RNAcentral describes it as "bacterial SSU rRNA". It matches the Rfam family "Archaeal small subunit ribosomal RNA", at positions 348 to 747 of the family's 1478-position model. The record is from RNAcentral.